ACUCCUACGGGAGGCAGCAGUGGGAGUAUUGCAUCAAUGGGAAACCGGACAUGCAGCCAUGCCGCGUGUGUGAAGAAGGCCUUCGGGUUGUAAAGCACUUUCAGUAGGGAGGAAGGUAGUGUAGUUAACACCUGCAUUAUUUGACGUUACUUACAGAAGAAGCACCGGCUAACUCCGUGCCAGCAGCCGCGGUAAUACGGAGGGUGCGAGCGUUAAUCGGAAUUACUGGG
RNAcentral lists this ribosomal RNA (230 nucleotides) under uncultured bacterium. RNAcentral describes it as "partial 16S ribosomal RNA". It matches the Rfam family "Bacterial small subunit ribosomal RNA", at positions 335 to 558 of the family's 1533-position model. The record is from RNAcentral.